Molecule: ribosomal RNA, 496 nt
Filed under: uncultured bacterium
Lineage: Bacteria
Description: bacterial SSU rRNA
Rfam family: Bacterial small subunit ribosomal RNA
Source: RNAcentral
ACUCAAAGGAAUUGACGGGGACCCGCACAAGCAGCGGAGCAUGUGGUUUAAUUCGAAGCAACGCGAAGAACCUUACCAGGGCUUGACAUCCCUCUGACGUCCCGGAUAACGACGGGAGUUCUUCGGACAGAGGAGACAGGUGGUGCAUGGUUGUCGUCAGCUCGUGUCGUGAGAUGUUGGGUUAAGUCCCGCAACGAGCGCAACCCUUGCUGUUAGUUGCCAUCAUUAAGUUGGGCACUCUAACGGGACUGCCGGGGAUAACUCGGAGGAAGGUGGGGAUGACGUCAAAUCAUCAUGCCCCUUAUGUUCUGGGCUACACACGUGCUACAAUGGUCGGUACAAAGAGUCGCAAGACCGCAAGGUGGAGCCAAUCUCAAAAACCGAUCCCAGUUCGGAUUGCAGGCUGAAACCCGCCUGCAUGAAGCAGGAGUUGCUAGUAAUCGUGAAUCAGAAUGUCACGGUGAAUGCGUUCCCGGGUCUUGCACACACCGCCCGU